RNAcentral lists this ribosomal RNA (497 nucleotides) under uncultured bacterium. RNAcentral's name for it is "partial 16S ribosomal RNA". It matches the Rfam family "Bacterial small subunit ribosomal RNA", at positions 28 to 507 of the family's 1533-position model. The record is from RNAcentral.
GAUGAACGCUGGCGGCGUGCCUAAUACAUGCAAGUCGAGCGAACAGACGAGGAGCUUGCUCCUCUGACGUUAGCGGCGGACGGGUGAGUAACACGUGGAUAACCUACCUAUAAGACUGGGAUAACUUCGUGAAACCGGAGCUAAUACCGGAUAAUAUAUUGAACCGCAUGGUUCAAUAGUGAAAGACGGUUUUGCUGUCACUUAUAGAUGGAUCCGCGCCGCAUUAGCUAGUUGGUAAGGUAACGGCUUACCAAGGCAACGAUGCGUAGCCGACCUGAGAGGGUGAUCGGCCACACUGGAACUGAGACACGGUCCAGACUCCUACGGGAGGCAGCAGUAGGGAAUCUUCGGCAAUGGGCGAAAGCCUGACGGAGCAACGCCGCGUGAGUGAUGAAGGUCUUCGGAUCGUAAAACUCUGUUAUUAGGGAAGAACAAAUGUGUAAGUAACUAUGCACGUCUUGACGGUACCUAAUCAGAAAGCCACGGCUAACUACGUG